Molecule: ribosomal RNA, 469 nt
Filed under: uncultured bacterium
Lineage: Bacteria
Description: partial 16S ribosomal RNA
Rfam family: Bacterial small subunit ribosomal RNA
Source: RNAcentral
GACGAACGCUGGCGGCGUGCUUAACACAUGCAAGUCGAACGGAAAGGCCCUGCUUGCAGGGUGCUCGAGUGGCGAACGGGUGAGUAACACGUGGGUGAUCUGCCCCUUACUUUGGGGUAAGCCUGGGAAACUGGGUCUAAUACUGGAUAGGACCAUGCUGUAGGUGGUGUGGUGGAAAGAUUAGUUUCGGUAAGGGAUGAGCUCGCGGCCUAUCAGCUUGUUGGUGGGGUAAUGGCCUACCAAGGCGUCGACGGGUAGCCGGCCUGAGAGGGUGGACGGCCACAUUGGGACUGAGAUACGGCCCAGACUCCUACGGGAGGCAGCAGUGGGGAAUAGUGCACAAUGGGCGCAAGCCUGAUGCAGCGACGCCGCGUGGGGGAUGACGGCCUUCGGGUUGUAAACUCCUUUCAGCCAUGACGAAGCCCUUGUGGUGACGGUAGUGGUAGAAGAAGCACCGGCUAACUACGUG